UAUAAAAGAGUGGGGUGGCUGGGUGAGAAAGGAACUGGAGUCAGUUGGCUUCUUUGUGAAGAAGAAAGAGGUAGUGCUCUGAGGAGCUGCCCACGAGAAACAUCAAGAAGGUGCAGAAAGUGUUGAUUUUGGGGGUUUACCUGAUCUUCAGAAAUUCAUGCCUCUGAGAAGAAUGGGCUGCUGUGAGGAAAAAAAGAAAUCUAAAGUUGAAAUGUUCAUAAGUAGUAUAUAUAGUUAGAAAAAUGCAUGAAAAAAUUAAAUCAAAGAGAUGUCAUCUAAAAGUAAUGUCUACCAUGAAAAUCAAAACCUCUGCUGCCAAAGAAGAUAUAUACAAUAGCCAGAGCUGGAGCUAUGGCCCCAGUAUUGCACAGCCCCAUCUUCUCAUUCUCAGAAACCAUUCCUGGAUAUUUCAAGGGCUGCUGUUCUGUACCCUACUUGCUGUCCUAUAACUUACUAUGCUGCUGUUUGUAUGGUCUGCAAGGUUAAGUUCAUAAUCCUUUACAAAGUCACUCAGUUUGCCUUUACAAUCAGGAAAAAAUGGUGAAGCUUCACCUGUAUUUCACAAAGGUUUCCAGCCACAGUUGUCCUCAGUUCUUUAGCCCAUAAAUGAAAUAGGAGAAAAGAUGAUGUGGUAUGUUUUAUUUUGUCUCUAAAGUUACUGUUGUGGAUUUUUGAGGUCUUGAAGUCAAUGAGAAUUGGAAUAGCCAUUGUAUGGAAUUAAAGGGAUUUGUAUAAAACUA
Zonotrichia leucophrys gambelii is the source of this 740-nucleotide long non-coding RNA. RefSeq lists it as uncharacterized. Lineage: Eukaryota; Metazoa; Chordata; Aves; Passeriformes; Passerellidae. The record is from RefSeq and is a predicted model, not a curated record. The transcript is spliced from 2 exons.